RNAcentral lists this ribosomal RNA (268 nucleotides) under uncultured bacterium. Its description in RNAcentral is "partial 16S ribosomal RNA". It matches the Rfam family "Bacterial small subunit ribosomal RNA", at positions 793 to 1055 of the family's 1533-position model. The record is from RNAcentral.
GUCCACGCCGUAAACGAUGGGCACUAGGCGUCGGGGGGAGCGACCCUCCCGGUGCCGUCGCUAACGCAGUAAGUGCCCCGCCCUGGGGAGGUACGGCCGCAAGGCUGAAACUAAAAGGAAUUGACGGGGGCCCGGCACAAGCGGUGGAGCAUGUGGUUUAAUUCGAAGCAACGCGAAGAACCUUACCUGGGCUUGACAUGCUGGUGUAAGCCGGUGGAAACAUCGGCCCCUCUUCGGAGCGCCAGCACAGGUGCUGCAUGGCUGUCGU